UUUUGAGCGUUUGCUUUUUAUUAAGCUCGUUCGUAAUAUAUUAGCAUCUCAAUUUCGUAAUCGGAUUGACUCAGCGUAAUAGACUAUUCGCUGAGGACACUACUUGUAGUGGCCGAGAAUGAAAAAGUUAGAAGCUUCCAACCCUUCUAGUCAUUUUUGAUUUAGACCUCAGAUCAGGCAGGAUUACCCGCUGAACUUAA
RNAcentral lists this unclassified non-coding RNA (200 nucleotides) under soil metagenome. RNAcentral describes it as "partial contains internal transcribed spacer 2 and large subunit ribosomal RNA". The record is from RNAcentral.